RNAcentral lists this long non-coding RNA (315 nucleotides) under Lathyrus oleraceus (garden pea). RNAcentral describes it as "Pisum sativum (pea) long non-coding RNA (PSAT_LNC007031)". The record is from RNAcentral. Lineage: Eukaryota; Viridiplantae; Streptophyta; Magnoliopsida; Fabales; Fabaceae.
UGACACAAUUGGGCCCUUGGCCCAGUGGGAGAGGGGGUUGAUCCCCCCAUGACCCUAAGGUCAGGGGUUUAACCCCCAGCGUGUGCAUCCCUUUGUUUUAUUUUAUUUUUUCACUUGUUUUUUUAUUUAUUUUUACCAUUUAUUCGCAUUUUCAUUUUAUUUUUUACCCUCAUUAUUUUAAUCAUUCUUAUAAAAAUUUCAACAUGAACCCUUAUUAUUUUUGUCUUUAGUAUUUAAUUUUUUCUUGAUUCAAAUCAUUUGGAUAUUUUUUGAGGGACUUAUGAAGUCUUGAAUUCAUAGGCUAAUGAAAUAUAC